ACCCUCUCAGGGUCGCACCUGGAGAGUUUCCAGUACUCUACCAGUCUCGGCUACGGGAGGGAGAGUCAAGCAGAGGCCGAACCAUUCCAUUCCCAGCUUGGGCAGUAACUAGCGAGUGGCAGGCCAUCUGCUACAAGU
RNAcentral lists this small nucleolar RNA (138 nucleotides) under Ornithorhynchus anatinus (platypus). The record is from RNAcentral. Lineage: Eukaryota; Metazoa; Chordata; Mammalia; Monotremata; Ornithorhynchidae.